Paramuricea clavata is the source of this 83-nucleotide non-coding RNA. The record is from the annotation of a GenBank genome assembly. Lineage: Eukaryota; Metazoa; Cnidaria; Anthozoa; Malacalcyonacea; Plexauridae.
AAAUUUUCGACUGCAUGUAACAGCCUUCGUCAGAAACUAAGUCUUAGUUUCUGACGAAGGCUGUUACAUGCAGUCAAAAAUUU